Molecule: ribosomal RNA, 497 nt
Filed under: uncultured bacterium
Lineage: Bacteria
Description: partial 16S ribosomal RNA
Rfam family: Bacterial small subunit ribosomal RNA
Source: RNAcentral
GAUGAACGCUGGCGGCGUGCCUAAUACAUGCAAGUCGAGCGAACGGACGAGAAGCUUGCUUCUCUGAUGUUAGCGGCGGACGGGUGAGUAACACGUGGAUAACCUACCUAUAAGACUGGGAUAACUUCGGGAAACCGGAGCUAAUACCGGAUAAUAUUUUGAACCGCAUGGUUCAAAAGUGAAAGACGGUCUUGCUGUCACUUAUAGAUGGAUCCGCGCUGCAUUAGCUAGUUGGUAAGGUAACGGCUUACCAAGGCAACGAUGCAUAGCCGACCUAAGAGGGGGAUCGGCCACACUGGAACUGAGACACGGUCCAGACUCCUACGGGAGGCAGCAGUAGGGAAUCUUCCGCAAUGGGCGAAAGCCUGACGGAGCAACGCCGCGUGAGUGACGAAGGUCUUCGGAUCGUAAAACUCUGUUAUUAGGGAAGAACAUAUGUGUAAGUAACUGUGCACAUCUUGACGGUACCUAAUCAGAAAGCCACGGCUAACUACGUG